RNAcentral lists this unclassified non-coding RNA (485 nucleotides) under Hevea brasiliensis (rubber tree). The record is from RNAcentral. Lineage: Eukaryota; Viridiplantae; Streptophyta; Magnoliopsida; Malpighiales; Euphorbiaceae.
GUCAUGUGCUAAUAAGGAUUGAUAUGUGUUAGAAGUGAGCAAGUGCGAUAGUUUUAGUUUGUAUAAAGAAGACAGAAUAAAUAUAGACUGCAAACGAUGUCUGAAGUGCAAACUCUUUGGGUGUCUUUUUGCAAAAGGCUGCCACUUUUAAUGGAAUUCAUUACUGUACAGUGAAGUUGAUGUUAUGGAUUCAAGUGUGUGAGAAUGUCUCAUAUGGAAUGGGACCCACAAGUAUUUUUCACAAGGAAUGGGUCUCACAAGUUGGUAUUGCAUCAUGACCAUUGAUGGCGUAUUAGUGAGCUUAGUUAUGUAUCAUAAGUCACGCGGUUGUUAGAUUCUGUAUUGGAAUUUCCACUCUCUAUUAUCCUAAAUAAAAAGUUGAGGAAUUUUCUAUUUUUAGUUUAAAAGGGGCAUGCAUUCCUUUGAUCAUUGUAAUUAAUCUUUAAAUCCAUGGAAAGAACAAUUUCUUUAUCCAUGGAAAGCUG